Molecule: long non-coding RNA, 1601 nt
Filed under: Sus scrofa (pig)
Lineage: Eukaryota; Metazoa; Chordata; Mammalia; Artiodactyla; Suidae
Description: lncRNA (ENSSSCG00000057919.1)
Source: RNAcentral
CCAUUUCUUGGGCUGCUCCUUCGACAUAUGGAGGUUCCCAAGCUAGGGGUCUAAUCGGAGCUGUAGCCACCAGCCUACUCCAGAGCCAUAGCAACGCCAGAUCCUUAACCCACUGAGCAAGGCCAGGGAUCGAACCCGCAACCUCAUGGUUCCUAGUCAGAUUCGUUAACCCCUGAGCCACGAUGGGAACUCCCAGAAAUUUCACCUUUACUAAUGCAAAAUGUGUUGGAGUUUUGUAAGAGCUGUGUAGAAUGGUUUCUCUUGAAAGAACUUGGAAAACUGUCAUUGUCUCAUAAUAAUUAUGGAGUUAGUCCAUAAUCCAUACAUCAUUUUAUGAAAUCGAAGAACAGGCAAAAGGGAUCUGUGGGGAGAGAAAUCGUAAUUGUGAGUUUCUGGGAUAGAAAGAAGAGGGAUAGAAUGGAGGAGAGACUGCAGAGAACCUCCUAGGAUGAUGAUGUCCUCAGCUGGAAUACUGGCUACAUGGAUAUCUGCAUUUGUCAAGGAAUGGAAAAGUACAAGGAACUAGAUAGCAAUUAUAUAAUAGACUCUUGUAGAGAAUCAUUCAGGGAUUUAAGAAAAAGGGCUCUUACAGCUGAUAUUGUAGAUAACGAAGAUCACUUUAGAAGUAACGUUUAAGAACAACCAUAGAUUGGAAGCAUAAUUAUAAAGAAAUACCUUCUGUUUUCCUUUUAGCUAUUCUGUUUAUGUUUUAAAAGUAAUACAUUAUUUAAGGAAAUCUAAAAAACCCAUCACACUGUCACUGUCACUGUCACUGUAUGCAAUUAUGAACCUAUAAUAUAUACAUAAAAAGUAUAUAACAGGGAGUUCCUCUCAUGGCCCAGCAGAAAUAAAUCUGACUAGUAUCCAUGAGGAUGCAGGUUCGAUCCCUGGCCUCACUCAGUGGGUUAAGGAUCCAGCGUUGCCAUGAGCUGUGGUGUAAGCCAGCGGCUACAGCUCUGAUUUGACCCCUAGCCUGGGAGCCUCCAUAUGCUACAGGUGUGGACCUUAAAAAAUACAAUAACAAAAAAAAACAUUAGGGCAUCAGAGAAAAGCAGUCUGUUUCAAGCAGUUUGAAAUUAGCAGUGCUCCCAAGGAGAUUUAGGGAAAAGUCAGUCUUACCAACACCCAUGACCUAUUAAUUUUCUACUGGCAAGUCUUUCCAUAUUGUGGAAAAGGGGCACCACUACCCUUUAUCCAGGUUCCACUGGAAACAAGUACCACUGGCUCCCAGACUUCCAUGCACAUAAAUAUCACCUUGGAUGCUUGUUAAAAAUGCAGUCUCUGGGUCUGUAUCUGAAGGUUUUGAUGCUACAAAUCUAAGUUAGUGUCUAGGAAUUUCCAUUUUAGUGAACAUACUUGGUGAGACUGAUAUAGGUAGCCAACGGACUUAUACUUUGAGAAACACCUCAUUAAUAAUCAAAUCAUAAAACUAGUUCCUGCUUCCUCUAAUUUCAGGCUCUCUGGGUAACCUUCUAAAAAUAGAGCCUUUAUGCCUUCACAAAGAAAACAUGCUGUUUAUAGCAAUAUGUGUAUGUGACAGAAUCUUUUCUCAUUCUAAAAAAGGAAUAGGCAUCGGUUUUGUACCUCAAUCUGAUGAUCUU